RNAcentral lists this ribosomal RNA (465 nucleotides) under uncultured Streptococcus sp. RNAcentral's name for it is "bacterial SSU rRNA". It matches the Rfam family "Bacterial small subunit ribosomal RNA", at positions 338 to 795 of the family's 1533-position model. The record is from RNAcentral. Lineage: Bacteria; Bacillati; Bacillota; Bacilli; Lactobacillales; Streptococcaceae.
CCUACGGGAGGCAGCAGUAGGGAAUCUUCGGCAAUGGACGGAAGUCUGACCGAGCAACGCCGCGUGAGUGAAGAAGGUUUUCGGAUCGUAAAGCUCUGUUGUAAGAGAAGAACGAGUGUGAGAGUGGAAAGUUCACACUGUGACGGUAUCUUACCAGAAAGGGAUGGCUAACUACGUGCCAGCAGCCGCGGUAAUACGUAGGUCCCGAGCGUUGUCCGGAUUUAUUGGGCGUAAAGCGAGCGCAGGCGGUUAGAUAAGUCUGAAGUUAAAGGCUGUGGCUUAACCAUAGUACGCUUUGGAAACUGUUUAACUUGAGUGCAAGAGGGGAGAGUGGAAUUCCAUGUGUAGCGGUGAAAUGCGUAGAUAUAUGGAGGAACACCGGUGGCGAAAGCGGCUCUCUGGCUUGUAACUGACGCUGAGGCUCGAAAGCGUGGGGAGCAAACAGGAUUAGAUACCCUGGUAGUC